RNAcentral lists this ribosomal RNA (457 nucleotides) under uncultured Actinomycetes bacterium. RNAcentral describes it as "bacterial SSU rRNA". It matches the Rfam family "Bacterial small subunit ribosomal RNA", at positions 338 to 795 of the family's 1533-position model. The record is from RNAcentral. Lineage: Bacteria; Bacillati; Actinomycetota; Actinomycetes.
CCUACGGGUGGCAGCAGUGGGGAAUAUUGCACAAUGGGCGCAAGCCUGAUGCAGCGACGCCGCGUGCGGGAUGGAGGCCUUCGGGUUGUAAACCGCUUUUAUAGGGGGGCAAGCUAUGCCUGUGUGGUGUGGUGAGUGGACUUUAUGAAUAAGCACCGGCUAACUACGUGCCAGCAGCCGCGGUAAUACGUAGGGUGCAAGCGUUGUCCGGAUUUAUUGGGCGUAAAGGGCUCGUAGGCGGUUUGUUGCGUCUGGUGUGAAAGCUUACUGCUUAACGGUAGGUUGCGCUGGAUACGGGCAGGCUUGAGUGCAGUAGGGGAGACUGGAAUUCUCGGUGUAACGGUGGAAUGUGUAGAUAUCGGGAAGAACACCUAUGGCGAAGGCAGGUCUCUGGGCUGUUACUGACGCUGAGGAGCGAAAGCGUGGGGAGCGAACAGGAUUAGAUACCCGGGUAGUC